ACGCUGGCGGCAGGCUUAACACAUGCAAGUCGAGCGGUAACAGGGGGAGCUUGCUCCCCGCUGACGAGCGGCGGACGGGUGAGUAAUGCAUAGGAAACUGCCCAGUAGUGGGGGAUAGCCCGGGGAAACCCGGAUUAAUACCGCAUACGCCCUUUGGGGGAAAGCAGGGGAUCUUCGGACCUUGCGCUAUUGGAUGUGCCUAUGUCGGAUUAGCUAGUUGGUGGGGUAAGAGCCUACCAAGGCGACGAUCCGUAGCUGGUCUGAGAGGAUGAUCAGCCACAUCGGGACUGAGACACGGCCCGAACUCCUACGGGAGGCAGCAGUGGGGAAUAUUGGACAAUGGGGGCAACCCUGAUCCAGCCAUGCCGCGUGUGUGAAGAAGGCUUUCGGGUUGUAAAGCACUUUCAGUGAGGAGGAAAACCUUACGACUAAUACUCGUGAGGCUUGACGUUACUCACAGAAGAAGCACCGGCUAACUCCGUGCCAGCAGCCGCGGUAAUACGGAGGGUGCAAGCGUUAAUCGGAAUUACUGGGCGUAAAGCGCGCGUAGGUGGUUUGAUAAGCGAGAUGUGAAAGCCCCGGGCUCAACCUGGGAACGGCAUUUCGAACUGUCAGGCUAGAGUAUGGUAGAGGAGUGUGGAAUUUCCUGUGUAGCGGUGAAAUGCGUAGAUAUAGGAAGGAACACCAGUGGCGAAGGCGGCACUCUGGACCAAUACUGACACUGAGGUGCGAAAGCGUGGGAGCAAACAGGAUUAGAUACCCUG
RNAcentral lists this ribosomal RNA (764 nucleotides) under Marinobacter sp. DG1264. RNAcentral describes it as "bacterial SSU rRNA". It matches the Rfam family "Bacterial small subunit ribosomal RNA", at positions 33 to 789 of the family's 1533-position model. The record is from RNAcentral. Lineage: Bacteria; Pseudomonadati; Pseudomonadota; Gammaproteobacteria; Pseudomonadales; Marinobacteraceae.